This is a long non-coding RNA of Bubalus bubalis (water buffalo), 997 nucleotides long. RefSeq lists it as uncharacterized. The record is from RefSeq and is a predicted model, not a curated record. The transcript is spliced from 3 exons. NCBI's taxonomy places the organism in Eukaryota, Metazoa, Chordata, Mammalia, Artiodactyla, Bovidae.
AGGGCCUGAGCAUCUUCCCUGAGAGACUUAAGACUCAAUCCAGCCUGAGCAGAGGGGGACAACCUGAAGUCAAUCAUCUCCCACUCCUUUGUAGCGGGGGACUGUGCGAGGCGUUGGGGUUAGAGCAGUGGAAGGUGUAGCCGUGGUCCUGACCUCAUGGAGGUUAUAGUCUGGGAUUGAAGCCAUGCCCGCCAUAGUGGAAGCAUGGAGCCUUAACCACUGGACCACCAGGGAAGUCCCAAGGACCCUGACCCACGUGAAUCAACAUUUCUGUAUGGUGUGAGGUAGAAGUCAAGGCUCAUUCAGCACCCAUUUCUAACCAAGCUCCAUUUAAAUUUCUAGCACCAGUUUUUUGAAAAUACUUUUUUUUUUUCUUCUAGUGAACUGCAGUGGCCAUUUUCUUAUAAAUCAAGUGCUCAUAUAUGUACAAGCCUACUUCUGAGUUCUCUGUUCUGUAUAGUUGGUCUACUUGACUACUUUGUGCCAGUACUAUGUGUUAAUUAUUAAAGUUUUAUAAUGAGUUUCCACAUAUGAUAGUCUAAGUCCUCAAGCUUUAUUCUUCUCCAAAAUCACACUGUCUUUUUCUCUGCAUUUUCAUAUAAGCUUUAGAAUCAGAGUGUUAACUUUUAAAAAGCUAUUAGAUUUUUUAUUGGAAUUGCACUGAGUCUAGAGGUCAAUUUUAAAAGAAUUAGCACCUUAACAAAUACUGGCCUAACAACUCUCUAUCCCUUAAAACUCCAUCUGACCAUCAGGCCAACUUAGAUGCUGCUCCUUCUGAACUUUCAUUGUACUUCCUAUGUACUUAGGUAUGUUUAUAUUGUGUAUAGACUGAGCAGACUGCAUAGAAACUGAUUAGAUGUCUGUAUCUUCCUUAAGAGGUGAUCUCUUGGGCUACCAAGCCAUCCUUGUAUCCUAAUUCUUAGUAAAAUGCAUAGUAUAUAGUAAGUGUUUAAUAUAAGUUUGAUGAAUGAAUGAAUAAAACCCAAGUCACUUUGUA